AGUUUGAUCCUGUGCUCAAGCACGAACGCUGGCGGCGCGCCUAACACAUGCAAGUCUAACGAACGAAAGAGAGCUUGCUUUCUCCAACGAGUGGCGAACGGGUGAGUAACGCGUGAGGAACCUGACUCAAAGAGGGGGACAACAGUUGGAAACGACUGCUAAUACCGCAUAGGCCCACCGGUCGGCAUCGAACAGAGGGAAAAGGAACAAUCCGACUUGAGAUGGCCUCGCGUCCGAUUAACUGGUUGGUGAGGUAAUGGCCCACCAAGGCGACGAUCGGUAGCCGGACUGACAGGUUGAACGGCCACAUCGCGACUGAGACACGGCCCAGACUCCUACGGGAGGCAGCAGUGGGGAAUAUUGCACAAUGGGGGAAACCCUGAUGCAACGACGCCGCGUGGAGGAAGAAGGUCUUCGGAUUGUAUACUCCUGUGGUUGAGGAAUAUAAUGACGGUACUCAUCAAGGAAGUGACGGCUAACUACGUGCCAGUACCCGCGGUAAAACGUAAGUCACAAGCGUGGUCCGGAAUUACUGAGUGUAAAUGGAGCUCACGCGGGAAGACAAGUUGGAAGUGAAAUCUAUGGGCUCAACCCAUAAACUGCUUUCAAAACUGUUUAUCUUGAGUAUUGCAAAUGUAGGCGGAAUUCCCGGUGUACCGGCGGAAUGCGUGGAUAUCGGGAGGAACACCAGUGGCGAAGGCGGUCUACUGGGCACCAACUGACGCUGAGGAUCGAAAGUGUGGGUAGCACACAGGAUUAGAUACGCUGGUAGUCCACACCGUAGACGAUGAUUACUAGGUGUUGGAGGAUUGACCCCUUCAGUGCCGCAGUUAACACAAUAAGUAAUCCACGUGGGGAGUACGACCGCAUGGUUGAAACUCAAAGGAAUUGACGGGGGCCCGCACAAGCAGUGGAGUAUGUGGUUUAAUUCGACGCAACGCGAAGAACAUUACCAAGUCUUGACAUCCCUUUACGAUGAUGGAAACAGUAUUUCUCUUCGGAGCAAGGAGACAGGUGGUGCAUGGUUGUCGUCAGCUCGUGUGGUGAGAUGUUGGGUUAAGUCCCGCAACGAGCGCAACCUCUUACUGUCAGUUACUACGCAAGAGGACUCUGGCAGGACUGCCGUUGACAAAACGGAGGAAGGUGGGGAUGACGUCAAAUCAUCAUGCCCUUUAUGACUUGGGCUACACACGUAAUACAAUGGCGUUAAACAAAGAGAAGCAAGACCGCGAGUUGGAGCAUAAAUCAGAGACUAUGUCCCAGCUCGGAAUGCAGGCUGCAAUUCGCUUGCAGGAAGUCGGAAUAGUUAGUAAUGGUGGAUCAGCAUGCCACAGGUGAAUACGUUCCCGGGCUGAGUACACACGGCCCGU
RNAcentral lists this ribosomal RNA (1370 nucleotides) under uncultured bacterium. Its description in RNAcentral is "16S ribosomal RNA". It matches the Rfam family "Bacterial small subunit ribosomal RNA". The record is from RNAcentral.